Molecule: long non-coding RNA, 1420 nt
Organism: Anastrepha ludens (Mexican fruit fly)
Lineage: Eukaryota; Metazoa; Arthropoda; Insecta; Diptera; Tephritidae
Exons: 3
Source: RefSeq, a predicted model, not a curated record
UGUUCGAAGAAACUGACGAAACGUAUACCAAAAGUUGCCGCUGCGACAAACAAAGAAGAAACCAACAGAUACUUUUGUCUCUACAUACGCAUACGGACCUGGGCAAGAGAUAAACGCUAACAAAUUUUAUUUGCUAUUUGCCAGUCGCAGAUAAAUAUUUCGCCCCAUACAGAAUGGGGGGUGUGGAUGUUUUAGCAUUUGGCAAAAAAGAACAACGAAAUACAUUUUUGGCGUUGAUAUUCCAAACACGACGAAAUUUGACGAAUUAGCUUCCCUGAAUACGAUAAACACAGAUAUAAAAGUAUUACGCACGAAUACAACUACAAUUGCAUAUACAAACAAAUUUAAUCACAAAUACAAAUAGCCAUUAAAGCAUUCAAUAGCUUCGGCUAUCAUACUUUUAUUUUUUAAUAUGUGCAUAUGUAUGUAGUAACAGCAUAACAGUUGACCGAACGUUCGACCAACCGACAGACAAAUGACGAUGAAACAUUUUGAUAUGAAAAUCGCAAUAUGUAUGUAUGAACGCGUGUAGCUACAUGGAAUUAAGUGAAAACAAAUACACGAACCACAACAUCCAACACAAAAAAAAGAGCGCCAGUACAAAGUGGCGACAUUUUAGGUAUAAAAUGAGCGAAUUAAAUUAAAAAUCUGGUGAUUUAAGUAACGAGCACCCUCCAGAUGGGCUACGGAGAGAGGGAUGCCAACUUAACUUAUAACAUUUUCUUAGUGGGAAAUAUUAAAAUGUAAAUAGUCACAUAUUAUAUUAUGUGAUCGUUUAAAAAGUACGGUUACCAAUUUUAAAAAUCUUAAAAAAAUAAUCAAAUAUACGCCAUUUUGGUUUUUCUUGGCAUUUUUCGAGGAAAUUCCGUUAGCGUAGAACUUCUGUGAAUUCUUGAAGUAUCAUAUUUGCUAAUACAAUUCGCGAGAACGAAUUACGUUGGCUUUCAGAAUACAUCAGUAAAUCAACAACAAUUUCCUAUAUACAUAUAUAUUUUUUUAAUAAACCUGACAAUCUUGAACUCGAAUCUCCUGCUGCUGAACUAAACACCCACGCGCACGACUUACACGACCAGCUACAAAGGACGUAUGAGGGUUGCCCUAAGAAAGUUACCAUUUCAAUGCCUGUGCGGAAUGAUACACAAAUAAGAUGUAAAGCUCAGUGGCGAAUUUGAGAGAGCAACAGUGUGAGAUGAUGGAUGCAGAAUGAGCCCAAAUAAUAUCAAUGCGAUGGGAUUUCGGUGGUUUUUCGGCAGAAAAAAUAUUGUAAUAUGUAAUACACAUGUACCUAUAAAUAAAGGGUCCGCCAUAUAACUUUACGGAAUUAAAAAUGCUAUAAAAAAUAAACUACUCAAUAUUUUUCCAAACUGUUUUUUUUAUUUUGAAGUACAAUCCGUCCGGUUAAUGAUGGAACACAACUUCA